AUUGAACGCUGGCGGCAGGCCUAACACAUGCAAGUCGAGCGUGGGGCGGACGGGUGAGUAAUGUCUGGGAAACUCCCUGAUGGAGGGGGAUACCUACUGGAAAGGGUAGCUAAUACCGCAUACCAUCAGAUGUGCCCAGAUGGGAUUAGCUAGUGGGUGGGGUAAGGGCUCACCAGGGCGACGAUCCCUAGCUGGUCUGAGGGGAUGACCAGCAACACUGGAACGGGGACACGGUCCAGACUCCUACGGGAGGCAGCAGUGGGGAAUAUUGCACAAGGGGCGCAAGCCGGCUGAGGCAAUGCCGCGUGUGGGAAGAAGGCCUUCGGGUUGUAAAGCACUUUCAGCGGGGAGGCGUUACUCGCAGAAGAAGCACCGGCUAACUCCGUGCCAGCCGCCGCGGUAAUAC
This 406-nucleotide ribosomal RNA is filed under the name uncultured bacterium. Its description in RNAcentral is "partial 16S ribosomal RNA". It matches the Rfam family "Bacterial small subunit ribosomal RNA", at positions 29 to 526 of the family's 1533-position model. The record is from RNAcentral.